Pelobates cultripes (western spadefoot toad) is the source of this 331-nucleotide non-coding RNA. The record is from the annotation of a GenBank genome assembly. Lineage: Eukaryota; Metazoa; Chordata; Amphibia; Anura; Pelobatidae.
UAUUAAUAAUGUACCACCAUAUGAGGUGUUUUUUUUUUUUUUUUUCCAGAAUGAUAAAUUAUUAAAUAACAAACAAAGAUAUUUUCCACCUUCGGUAAUUGAAAAGCCUACUUAUCUCCUGUUUCUGUGUGCCAAUCAACAACGAGAAGACUGUGGUGGUCUCUUUUGUGUUAUCCUCUUAUUGCGAAUCUUGCUGGUGAGCUUUCCCUGGUGCUCGCAUUGUCUGUGCUCAGUCAAGCUAAUGUCUAUCAUGUAAGACAAGGAUUGUGUGCAGUGCAUAGUAGUAAGGACAAAAGAUUUGGCCAGGAUUUCUUAUAACACUACCCUCUAC